ACCCGCUGAACUUAAGCAUAUUAAUAAGCGGAGGAAAAGAAACUAACAAGGAUUCCCCUAGUAACGGCGAGUGAAGCGGGAUGAGCUCAAGCUUAAAAUCUCUGUGCCAGUUUGGCAUGGCGAAUUGUAGUCUAUGGAGGCGCUGUCAGUGCGACUAUGCGGGUUAAGUUCCUUGGAAGAGGACAGCAUCGAGGGUGAUACUCCCGUAUGUACCUGUGUAGUUGCGCGUACGACACGUUUUCUUUGAGUCGUGUUGUUUGGGAAUGCAGCACAAAGUAGGUGGUAAAUUCCAUCUAAAGCUAAAUAUUGGUGCGAGACCGAUAGCGAACAAGUACCGUGAGGGAAAGAUGAAAAGAACUUUGAAAAGAGAGUUAAAGAGUACCUGAAACUGCUGAAAGGGAACCGAAUCGUUUCCAGUGUCUAUAAUCUAUGGCAUAUUCCAUUGGCGUGUGGGUGUGUACAGCGUUUUGGAAGUAGUUUUCUGCUCCUGUCGUUGUUUUGCGCUCGCCUGCUGAUGCCCUGUGCUGUAGUGGGACGUCAGAGUCAGUUUGUAUGCUGCGGGAAAUGGUUACUGGGGAGGUAGGUCACUUCGGUGGCUGUUAUAUCCUGGUGACUAGUCGUCGUGGUUGAGACUGAGGUGCCUACAAUGUGCUUUCGAGUCUAUGGGCCUCUCGUUUGGCUGUUUGCUUUGAUAGCUUGCUAUGUUAGUGAACGUGUCGGGCGAUUGAGACCUGUAGUAACUUGUUGCCGUUCGGGACUUUGACGAAAUGGAGCGAUCCGACCCGUCUUGAAACACGG
This 798-nucleotide ribosomal RNA is filed under the name uncultured Oomycota. Its description in RNAcentral is "LSU rRNA". It matches the Rfam family "Eukaryotic large subunit ribosomal RNA", at positions 23 to 664 of the family's 3401-position model. The record is from RNAcentral. Lineage: Eukaryota; Oomycota.